GACGAACGCUGGCGGCGUGCUUAACACAUGCAAGUCGAACGGAAAGGCCCUGCUUUUGUGGGGUGCUCGAGUGGCGAACGGGUGAGUAACAAGUGAGUAACCUGCCCUUGACUUUGGGAUAACUUCAGGAAACUGGGGCUAAUACCGGAUAGGAGCUCCUGCUGCAUGGUGGGGGUUGGAAAGUUUCGGCGGUUGGGGAUGGACUCGCGGCUUAUCAGCUUGUUGGUUGGGUAGUGGCUUACCAAGGCUUUGACGGGUAGCCGGCCUGAGAGGGUGACCGGCCACAUUGGGACUAAGAUACGGCCCAGACUCCUACGGGAGGCAGCAGUGGAGAAUAUUGCACAAUGGGCGGAAGCCUGAUGCAGCAACGCCGCGUGCGGGAUGACGGCCUUCGGGUUGUAAACCGCUUUCGCCUGUGACGAAGCGUGAGUGACGGUAAUGGGUAAAGAAGCACCGGCUAACUACGUG
Molecule: ribosomal RNA, 468 nt
Filed under: uncultured bacterium
Lineage: Bacteria
Description: partial 16S ribosomal RNA
Rfam family: Bacterial small subunit ribosomal RNA
Source: RNAcentral